UGUGUUCAGUGAAAUCGAGUAGGGCGGGACACGUGAUAUCCUGUCUGAAUAUGGGGGGACCAUCCUCCAAGGCUAAAUACUACUGACUGACCGAUAGUGAACCAGUACCGUGAGGGAAAGGCGAAAAGAACCCCUGUGAGGGGAGUGAAAUAGAACCUGAAACCGUGUACGUACAAGCAGUAGGAGCAGGCUUGUCCUGUGACUGCGUACCUUUUGUAUAAUGGGUCAGCGACU
Molecule: ribosomal RNA, 234 nt
Filed under: Vibrio parahaemolyticus
Lineage: Bacteria; Pseudomonadati; Pseudomonadota; Gammaproteobacteria; Vibrionales; Vibrionaceae
Description: partial 23S ribosomal RNA
Rfam family: Bacterial large subunit ribosomal RNA
Source: RNAcentral